Molecule: non-coding RNA, 507 nt
Organism: Cinara cedri
Lineage: Eukaryota; Metazoa; Arthropoda; Insecta; Hemiptera; Aphididae
Source: the annotation of a GenBank genome assembly
GAGCCUAAAACCAAUGAAAUUACUGACGUUUAUUUCGAUUAAACAUGUAUACGUAAUAUUUUCAAACACAUUUGAAAAGUAUAUUUCACGUUUUUACCCUAGUCUGCAGAGUAAUAGAAAUAUUAUUAUACGCGUAAUCGUGAACUAUUAUCAUAAGCCAGUGAGUGAAUUAUUGUAGAUGUUAAUUUUAGCUAACUGUUAUUAAACACGCGUACACGGGAAACGCAAAUUUUAAAUGUUCGUAUAACAAUGGUCAAGGUUAAGAGAGGAACUACCGCAGAAAAUAAUGCCAAAAAAAUAAUUUUUAAAAAUCGAAUAUUAAACACAGGGUUUUACUGUCUUAACUUAUAAAUAACAUAUUGCUUUAUUAAUAUGUUUACUUUAGAUUCUAAAUGUGUCAAAUAAGCUAUUACAGUUUUACCAAGUGAUAUCUUAUUAUCUCUUAAAAAAACAUAAAAACGCCAUAUUUCAAAUAUGACAUAUUGUAUUUUGGACAUUUUUUUAGAU